Molecule: ribosomal RNA, 346 nt
Filed under: uncultured bacterium
Lineage: Bacteria
Description: bacterial SSU rRNA
Rfam family: Bacterial small subunit ribosomal RNA
Source: RNAcentral
GUCUAGCAAUAGAUGAGACCGGCGCACGGGUGCGUAACGCGUAUGCAAUCUACCUUUUACAGAGGGAUAGCCCAGAGAAAUUUGGAUUAAUACCUCAUAGUAUAACGACCUGGCAUCAGGAUGUUAUUAAAGUCACAACGGUAAAAGAUGAGCAUGCGUCCCAUUAGCUAGUUGGUAAGGUAACGGCUUACCAAGGCUACGAUGGGUAGGGGUCCUGAGAGGGAGAUCCCCCACACUGGUACUGAGACACGGACCAGACUCCUACGGGAGGCAGCAGUGAGGAAUAUUGGUCAAUGGGCGCAAGCCUGAACCAGCCAUGCCGCGUGCAGGAUGACGGUCCUAUGGA